UCUAGCAUAUCAAUAAGCGGAGGAAAAGAAACCAACAGGGAUUGCCCUAGUAACGGCGAGUGAAGCGGCAACAGCUCAAAUUUGAAAUCUGGCUCUCUUUGGGGGUCCGAGUUGUAAUUUGCAGAGGAUGCUUUGGCAUUGGCGGCGGUCUAAGUUCCUUGGAACAGGACAUCGCAGAGGGUGAGAAUCCCGUACGUGGGCGCCUGCCUUUGCCGUGUAAAGCUCCUUCGACGAGUCGAGUUGUUUGGGAAUGCAGCUCUAAAUGGGAGGUAAAUUUCUUCUAAAGCUAAAUACCGGCCAGAGACCGAUAGCGCACAAGUAGAGUGAUCGAAAGAUGAAAAGUACUUUGGAAAGAGAGUCAAAAAGCACGUGAAAUUGUUGAAAGGGAAGCGCUUGCAGCCAGACUUGCCCGCAGUUGCUCACCUAGGCUUUGGCCUGGGGCACUCUUCUGCGGGCAGGCCAGCAUCAGUUUGGGCGGUUGGAUAAAGGCCUCUGUCACGUAUCUUCCUUCGGGAUGACCUUAUAGGGGAGGCGUAAUGCAACCAGCCCGGACUGAGGUCCGCGCAUCUGCUAGGAUGCUGGCGUAAUGGCUGUAAGCGGCCCGUCUUGAAACACGGACCAAGGAGUCUAACAUCUAUGCGAGUGUUUGGGUGUCAAGCCCGGGCGCGCAAUGAAAGUGAACGGAGGUGGGAACCCUUUGGGUGCACCAUCGACCGAUCCUGAUGUCUUCGGAUGGAUUUGAGUAAGAGCAUAGCUGUUGGGACCCGAAAGAUGGUGAACUAUGCUUGAAUAGGGUGAAGCCAGAGGAAACUCUGGUGGAGGCUCGCAGCGGUUCUGACGUGCAAAUCGAUCGUCAAAUUUGGGCAUAGGGGCGAAAGACUAAUCGAACCAUCUAGUAGCUGGUUCCUGCGAGUCC
This 916-nucleotide ribosomal RNA is filed under the name Paracamarosporium tamaricis. RNAcentral describes it as "partial 28S ribosomal RNA". It matches the Rfam family "Eukaryotic large subunit ribosomal RNA", at positions 33 to 971 of the family's 3401-position model. The record is from RNAcentral. Lineage: Eukaryota; Fungi; Ascomycota; Dothideomycetes; Pleosporales; Didymosphaeriaceae.